AUGCAAGUUCAUUUACGGAUAUGGCGAAGUUGAUACCCGGGCAAACCCUUCGUCCAGAACCAAAAGGAAUUAACUCAAAGUUAAGGCCUCGAAAAUCUAUUUUGGAAUUCAAAAACCUCUCAGGUUGAAAUUCCUCAGGGUUCUCCCACAGAAUGGGGUCUCUUGCAAUUGCACUAGCAUUCACCAACACUAGUGUGCCUGCUGGUAUAUCACACCCCAUUAUUUUGAUGUCUCGAGUUGAUUCUCGAGGAACCAGUAAUGGAGCAGGAACAUGACAUCGUAGAGUUUCUUUAAUCACUGCUUUUAAGUAUCUCAUCUUCUCCAAAUCAUCUUGAGCUAUUUCUGGUUUUCCCUGGGUCACUUCUCUUACCUCAGCCUGUAAUUUCUGCAAGGUUAUAGGUUUCUUUAGAAGUUCUGACAUUGCCCAUUCCAUAACUGAUUGUGUUGUGUCAGUUCCAUCGCCAAACAUGUUCUGCAUAACGGAAUGAAAGAAAGCGUUGCUUUAGAACAUGCAUAGAUGCUUUUUUUUUUUUUAAUCUAAAUUUCCAAUUUCAAAAAAAAUUGGCACGUUUGCACCCAAGUAAUAAAUUUGUAGUAGAGUUGAACUUGUCAAAAGAUUAAUAGGUUUAGGUACAUGUAAAUUUAAAAGUUACCAUGUUAUACAUUUAUUAAGUUUAAUGCACGUCAAGUUUUUUGCAUCACUGGACAGAUAACAAAUCCUUAAACCUUAUCGUUUUGGAAACAUUAAAUGGUCUCAAGUUUAAGUGCAUAAAGUUCGGUUAACCCAAGCAACCAUUGAAGAUAUUUUUUUUUUUUUUGAAAAUUGUUUACAAGAGAAGGUAUUCAAAUACUUGGGAUGAAUUUUUCUUUUAAUCUGAUAACAAGGGAAGGUAUUCAAAUAUAAGGGACGAAAAUGAGUGUGAUUACAUACAUUCAUAGUAAUUUUGAUAUAAAUUAAAUAUACUAAAGAGUGUAUAUAUAUAGAGUUGAGUGGUAAUUUUAGAAUUUUUAUAGUGAGUCAACCCUUUUUGUAUGUUUACUUAAUAUCCUGACCUCUUGUUUGGUAUGCAGUAAUGUCCAAAAUAAAAAGGUCUUCUACCCAAAAUGGCAGGGAUAAAUAUUUAUCAUUAUUCAUUCUUCAAUAUUUAGUGUGAUCAAUAUUUAGAUGUCAGAAUAGAAUACAAUUAAUACAUAUUUGACUUAAUUAUCCUAGAUAUGUUUAUGACUUUUAUUUUUUGUUCAAGUAUGUUAAUCUUUUGUUUACAUGGAAUUCGCACAUUUUUUGCUUUCAGAAUCUUUUGUUUACAUGGAAUUUCUACUAUGGAAUCUUUUGUUUUUAUUUUUUUUAUGAAAUUCAAAAAAAAAAAUUCCAUACAACUGUUGGACAGAAUCAGGUCAAACCUGAUGAAUCCGAAAAAAAACAGGUCGAAUUUAGGUCACCCACAGGUUGACCUAUUAACCCGUUUAUGAAUUAAAAAUAAUUUAAUAAAUAUAAAAAUGUUUUAUCUAACUAAACUAAGUUAUUCUUUUUUUUUUCCAAAGGCAUUAACCACUUAAUCUUAAAUGAAUUUGUUUAACUUAUGUGAAGUUGGAAUCAUUAUGUUUGGACAAAAGAUGUAUUACAUUAUUUUCUAAUUUUAUAGUAUCUUAAUUUAUUUUAGAUAUAGUUUGGGAUAAAAACACUUUUACGGUAUUUUAAUUUAUUUCAGAUCUGGUAUGAAAUUGUUUUAUCGAGAUUUUUAUUACUACUUCAUUAUGCAACUAGUCUUGUGUGAAAUUAGUUUUGUUAAAAACUACAGUGGUAAAUUAGUAAAUUGAAAUUAUGUUUCGGGUCAUUUGGGUGAUCAGCCAACCCGAAAAUUUUGGGUUCAGAUCAGGUAUCCUGACCCGUUGCGAGUUGACGGAUCGUGUUCAGGUCAGUGGAUUGUCAACCUGACCGGUCAACCCAUAUCUGACCCGAUUGCCAUUCACAAGAUUUUAUGUUAAAGCAAGGAAAAAAAUAAAAAAAUGAGUCAAACUCAAACAUAAACUGAUCAAACCGGACAAACCUGGUAAAACUCCAACAGUUGAACAGCCUAGCCACUAGAAAUUUUUUCCCUUUAUAUAAUUGGUAUUAUUCAAAUUUUCUAAUUAUAACUAAAAUAAGAAAAUAUUUAAUUGAAUUACUGGUUGAACCAUUAAGGCAUGAACCAAAGGCUCAUCCGCUUCAUUCAACCAUCCGAGUUUAAUAAUAUUGAAUUCAGUAAAUCUUACAAACCAAAUAGAUUUUGAUCUUGCACAUCGGAGUAGAGUAGAAGAAUGCCAUUUAAUAAGUUGUCAUGUCCAAGUCAAAUAAACUAAAAACAUUUGUAUGAUAGCACCAAACAAAAUCUAAACCUUCCAGCCUAGUGCAAGUCACUACCUUCAAAACUAGUACUAGAUGAUUUAUUACUAAUAAACAUAGUUCUUUUCAGAGUUGAAACUAAUUAUAAAUUCUCAUAGUGCGAUGCAAUUAAAGAGAUGGGGAGAGAUCUAAUUUACCAGGAUGAUGGCUUUCAUAUCAUCGCGGCCAAGAGCGAAGCCGAUAGUGCUUUCCUUAUUAACCUCGAUCAGAAUGUCCACAAAGUCUAGGCAUCUUGCCUCAACGGAAUGGUCAUUUUCAGCCUCACCUUUCCUCUUAUUUAUGUGCUCUUCUAUCACACCCUCAAGAAAUUCAUCAAUCAGCUUAACAAAUUUCUCCACUUUCAAGUCCAAACCAUUGAAACGAUUAACCCAUGAAAGCCAAGGAAUGUAGUCUCCUACAUCAAAAACACCCAUUAACUCAACAAAAACCCUCAAAUUUUCCAUAAUUUUCCUCCCUUUUUCUUCCGCACUAUACUUCCUCCCCAGGGCAACCCUACAAAUUAUAUCAUUUGUGAGAGUUACAAAUAUUUCAGUUAAGUUUACAGGUGAAGAAGAACACAUCUGGCUGAUCUUUUUGAUCAUGAGUGAAGUCUCUUCUUCUCUAACAUGCUGAUAUGACUGAACCCUUUUGUUACUCAAAAGAUGCAGCACACAAAUGCUUUUGGCUUGUCUCCAAUACUCACCAUACGGUGUAAAUACUACGUCCUUACUUCCGUAGAAUAGUCUGUCUUUAACGCUCGAUUUAGGCCUGUUUGAAAAAACCAGAUCAUGGGUUUUCAUGAUCUGGCUAGCUGCAUCAGCGGAAGAGGCUACCAGCACUGGCUUGCUUCCAAAAUGAAGUAGCAUGAGUGGGCCAUAUUUUCUUGACAAUGAUUGGAGGGAUCUGUGCGGAAGCAAGCCAAGCUGGUGAAUAUUUCCAAUUAUUGGGAGCUUUGGUGGAGAUGGUGGUAGCUUUUUUUGGGGUUUAGAAGCAGCAUAGAACCAUUUCAAAAGGGCUAGAAGGAAUACAACUGAGCAAACUGAGAAAAAUAAAAGAUCAAAAGAGAACGCCAUGGUGUAUAUGAUCUUAUGUUUGCCUAUUAAUGGGCUACUCUUCUUAUAUAAGGUUACAGACUGCUUUUAGAAUUGAAAUCCCAAUUAUACACCUGACAACAUUAGGACCAGAAAUGUACAUUUAAUUAUUUAGUACGAGGGAUGAUUUAAGCCCGAGAGUAUUAUAUGUCGGAGGAUGAAUUAGAUAAUAUAGAUAAAAAUAAUGUAAGUGGGGGAUUUUAAAUUCAAAACCUGUCACUGCACUUAAUGAUAAAAAAAGUAAGGAGCCCACACAUUACACAGGACAAAAUUAAUUGAUUGGUCUCUGAUUUAUCUUUUGGAGCUAUGGUAUUUUUGUCCGAUUUAUAUUAUUGGUCUUUGAUUUAUCUCUUUGUUGGGUGUGGGCCAGCAUAUUUGUGGGCCAAACCACACAAAAACAAACACGCAGGUUUCCAUUCUUAAAAGGAGGAAAAAAGCUUCGGCCACAAGACUGAAAAACCGAGAAAAAUAUAAGGAGCAGCCGCAAGAAGACUUUUCUUCUUGUGAGAAGAUUUCCAGCCGCAUAAUUCAAGAGAGAAACAAAGAGAGAGAAAGGGUGAGAGCUAGAGAAAAUUCUUUGCAACUUUGAAACCUCAAUUGAAAGGUGAUUUAAAAUUUGAUUGAGAUAAAAUUUUAUUCAUGCGAUCCUCUUGUCAAACUCUAUUCAUCUAUUUGUUUAGAUUUUGGAUUCUUCUUGUUUGGUAAUAUCCUUUCAAACCCACUUAUUUGACGGUUGUAAUUUUUUAGGGUGAUUUUAUAGUAAUUUCAUUUAAUUGGUAUUGGUGAUAUUAUUGUCAUUCGAAUACUUUCAGGUAGAUCUGUAUAUUUUCAUUAUUGUGAUAGUAGAGCUUUUUACUGAACUAGAUCUCGUGAUUUUUCUCAAUUUGGAUUUUUCACGUAAAAAUCUUGGUGUCCUGUGCCUUUUAUUUUUCCUACAUUUUAUUAUCAUUGUUGGCAUUAUUACUUGGUGAUUUGGUUUAUUCCUAUUUUAACUAGUAUUUGGAAAAAGAGAUAUUUGUUUUGAGCAAAUUCUGAUAUUGUGUUCGUUUAUCAGUACCCCUCUCCCAACGCUCUUGGACCUAUGGUAUUGGAAUCAUGGAGAAAACUCCUUCGUGAAAAAAUAACCAUUCACAUUUUGCAAAAUUUGAUUCCAAGAAAUAGGAAAAAGACGUUUAGCAUAGCAUAUCUUUUUGCUCCUUGGAUGAAGAAAGCCGGAACAUCGAAUAUUCCAUUUCGGCCAUAGCCCACAGCCGGCAGUUGAUUCUCCUUGUUGCCACGCACGUCUUAUCAAAUUAUGUAACAAAAGUUCAACGGUUAGGUACCAAAAUAGGCAACGCCGUCUAGGUUGCCACAAUCAAUUAUAGCUAUCAUUUUGUGUCUUUGAAGAAAAUUUGACAUGCAAUUUUCAUAUUUUCAAGUUUGAACUAAUGUUUGCCAAUCCUAAGACUUAUAAGUCUUGGAAAGUUGAGAGGUCAAGGGUUCAACCCUUACCUUUGCUAAACUUGCCACUUAAUUGUAACUGUCACCUUCGGAUGGCUUUCUUCGACGGGGUUUUCCGUCGAUUCUCCCUCCCCUUAGAUUAAAUUAGAGUAGGUUAUAUAACUAUUAUCGUUGCGACAAAAAAAAAAAGUUUGAACUAAUGUUUAAUAGUAUAAUGCACCAUAUGCUUGUGACUUGUGAGUUUGGAUUUUCUUUCGGAAUUUUGAGGAACUAAUAUUUGGAAAUUUUAUUAAUUAACUUUUUCUACCAAGGCACGAUAUUCUUCAACUCUAGAAAUAUUCGAAUAUAAAGUAUUACCUCGUUUGACAAAAAAAAAAAAAGAGUAUAGAGUAUUACCUCAUGAAAUGUAUUACCAUGAGCUGAUUAAGCUGUAAUUGGUUUAUGUUCAUAAUACUGGCUUCUGUAGGUGAGUGUGAUGGGACCAUCACAGAUCAAACCACGUGAUUUGAAGAUUAUGAGUUUUAUCUAUAGUAAAUUUGACAAUUGUUACGCCUUUCAAAAACUAAUGAUUAGUCUAACUCAUUGGAUAAUCAAAAGAUUUUGCUUUACUUGGUUUUAUUUGUUAUACAAUAAAAUUUCUGCUCCAAAACGCUAUAUAUAGCAUUUGAAGCUAUGCUAAGAUGGAAUAGCCCCAUGGCACUCUCUCUGCACUCGUAAUAUCAUAGAGUAAUCAAAUCAUCAAACCAUUCAUAGUUUGCAUAAUAGCCCCCAAGAAACAGCAAAAAAAGGUUUUGCUGAUAAAAGUAGUUCCUUGACGCAAUUAUGCACUGCAACAUCUUAUCAAAUGAAAGAAGUACAGUUUUCCAAAAUCAAUCAUAGGGAAUUUGAACUGUUAUUCCUUCGAAACGAGGGAUUUAAUUACAAUUUUCUGUUGUUACAAAUUUUCAACUGUUAGAUACAGAAAGCAUCCUCCUCUCUGAUGUUCCCAAAUUGAUGCAAAUUCUACAUCCAACUCAGAGUUAUCCUGCAGCUGAACUGUUGGAUAGACAUAAUAAGAGAUAACUCAGAAUACAAACCUUUUUUAAUUAUUGAUCAGUAGCUUAAAUACAAUUUGCCAACACUAGAUAUUUGCUGUCUGGUUAUUUGGAGAAUAGAUCAGUAUAAGGUCCACAUUUAUACUUGAAAAGAUAGGUAAAGAAGGCCUCUAACUUGUAUACCAGCUUUGCCAAUGCAAGCUUGUUGAUAGCCACAACAAAGGUAGUACCAGGGCAACCCCUGCGUCCAGCACCAAAUGGAAUUAACUCAGAGUUAAAACCUCUCUGGCUGAAAUUCUGCAGGCUGAUUCCAAGCAAUGAUCUCGUGCAAUUGCCCAAGCAUUUACCAUUACUGCUGCACCUGCUGGUAUAUCAUACCCCAUUAUCCUAACGUGUUUAGUUGAUUCUCGACGAACGAAAUAAUGAGAUUGAAGUAUGAAGUCGUAAAGUCUCCUUAAUCACUGCUUUCAAGUACUCCAUUUUGUCUAAAUCAUCUUCACUGAUUUCUGAUUUUCCUUCAGUUAUUCGUCUUACCUCAGUUUGCAAUUUCUCCAGGAUUUUGGGGUGCCUCACAAGUUCAGUCAUUGGCCACUCCAUAUUGCAUCAGUCCUGCACCAAACACGUCCUAAUCAUGGGAUUUGAAAAAGAAAAAGGAAAUGCUGUUUUAUUGAAAACAAUGACAUUCAAAGUUGAAAAAAAAUGACAUUCAAAGUUGAAGAAAAUGACAUUCAAGCACAUCUUUUCUAUUUCAAAGUUGACGUGGAAUUAUAUGAUUGUUUAUCUGAAAGUUAACGUUGAAUUGUAUACCAUAACAAAACAAAACUAAUAGGGUAGCAUAAUAAUUUGUUCUCUUUUUUUGAUAUUGAUUUUAUCUCUUACCCUGCAAUUAAAAAAAUCUAAAAAGUGUGUUAGAUCACCUCUUUAGUUUAGAUGAGUUUGUCUUCCAUCUAACUCCUUAUACAACCCAUUUAGAUUCCCCCUCUCUCCUAGAAUAGGAUAGUAUAAAUGUAGCUAAUUGACAAAAAAAAAAAAAAUUCUAAUUACGCAAAACAAAAUGUUUAACUCCAGGUACAAGUAGAAUAUAAUUUUAGUCUUCUACAAAAUACUGUUUAUUACUAAAGCUCUGUAUGGAUUAGAUAUUUUUAGACCUGAUUUUCAUAAAUUUUACUAUAACAGUAUAUAUGAAAAAAUUGUUACUAUAGUUUUUUAUUGGACUGUUUUUAGAAUUUUAAAUAUUAUUGUUGGGAUAUUUGUAAUAUAAAAAUCCCCCCUACCUCCACCCCUGCCCUCCUCCUCUCUUCUCUCUCACUUUUUCUCCCUUUCCUUCCUCCCGUCUCCCUUAACUUCUUCAAAAUUAGGAAAUGAAAGAAAGCCCAAUUUUAUUUUUCUUUUUUUAAGUGCUAUAAUUGGCUAUUUGCCUAAUCUUGAAGAAGCAUAGGAAGAGUAAGACCAAGAUAAGGAGAAGAGACAAUGAAAAAUCCAAAAUGAACAAAUUAGCAAUGAAAAUGCAAAGGUCCUUGAUUAGCCUCUUGUGGUUAUGGUUGUGUUUAAAUAACAAAUCCAUGCGUGUGGCUUGACUCUUGAAUAUUUCAAACACAUAUUAAUGUACAAAAGUAUUUUUUUUUUGAGGAGAAACAAAAGAGUAAGUUGUCUUUGUCAAUAAUAAAUCUUGAAGAUUACCAUCGGAAUUGAACCCAAUCAAAGUUUUACUUACACAUAUAUAUUCCUUGUUCAAAUUAUGUUUGGUUCAAUAAUGGAAUUACUUCAUACACGUGAACACAGCAGUAUAAAUAUGUAGUCAUCGAUUAAUAAUGGAGAAUUACUUAAAGGUUGGUCUAUGUGAUGGUGGAUAAUAAGAAUUGAACACGACAAUAGAGAAGGAAAAUAAACUGAACAAAGAAGAAAAAAAAAUAAAAGACAAGAAAUUACAAUUAAUGGGAAUUUGGCACCGAUUUUUGUUAUUUUAUUUUCCCAAGUAAUUAAAAAGAUAAAAUUACUAGAUAAAAUAAAAUAACUAUAGGAUGGGAUAAGGGUUCCUAAUAAACUGAAACUCUUACCCAAACCACCUACUAGUGGGUAGUGCUAGGUUUAGGAUUUUAUUGAAACCCUAGCAAGAAAAAUAACACCCUCCUUGCCUUUCUUUCAUCUGCCUCCCUAAAGCAAGAGCCGUCAGAGAAUAGAGAAGGAGAAGCAGGCGACACUGUCAAUUGAUCAGACGACUAGGCACCUAAAUCUAUAAGUCCCGAGUUCACGCAAAAUUCCUCUUUUAAGUUUUAGUAGUUGAAUUAAUUGUCCUAGAAAUUUUACGAAUAUGGAUUGUUGCUAUAUAUAUAUAUAUAUAUAUAUAUAUAUAUAUAUAUAUAUAUAUAUAUGUAGAUACAUAUAUUUUUAGAAAGAUUCAUAAGUGGAUCCAUAGGAAUAGGGUGUUAGAUUUGAAUCUGUGAGUAAAUAGGUUGCCCAAAUCUGGUGCAGGAAAAAUAAAAACAAAAAUAAAAACAAAACAAAAAAAAAAGGGAAGAGAAGAGCCGCUGCUCUGUUUUGGCUAGGCGUUGCAGCAACGCCUCACACACAAAAAGGGAAGAGUGGGGGGCCGCCAUCGCUGGCGGCAGAGAAAGAAUUUGCAAAAGUUGGCAUUUCGGCCAACCCAAGACCAAAGCAAAAAAAAAAAAAAAAAUUUGAAGAGGAUGUCGCCAGCACUUGCUGGCAACAAUGAACAAAAGUCAUGGUUGGGGUUCAACUCGGGGACGGAGAAAAUUUGGCAAAUUAUACAGGGGCCAAAACAUUAUAUAAAUGUAGUAAAUGUGUAAAAACUAAAUUUUAAAUUAUAAAUUAUAGUUUAUCGUGGGUAUUAAAAAUUCAGGACCCAAUUUAAAAUAAUUGUUAGAAUUGAAAGGUUAGUCAUGUAAAAUUAUACUUAGUUAAUUACGUAUAGGAUACUUAAAUGGAAAUCUAAAAACAUUAGCUCCAUUUGGAUUAGCUGAUUUUAAGGGUGUUUUUGAAAAAAUUUACUAUAGCAGUGUAUAUGAAAAAUUUUUACUUUAAAAUUUUUUUGAAGUAUAUUUGAUAUAUUGUAUAGACGAAAUGUUUUUUGAAUUAUUGCAUAUUACUGUAACAUUGUAUUUGAAAAAAUGGUCAAUCCAAACAGAGCGAUUGUAAUUUAGUCGUAUUAAGCUAAAUUGGACAAGGUGAGAUAAGUUUUAAAUGGUUAAACGAAAUGCUUAAAAUAAUAAUAAUAAUAAUAAUGCUGAUAAUAAUACUAAUAAUAACACUAAUGAUAAUAAUCCUAGUAGUAAAUAAUAAUGUUGACGAUAACACUAAUAAUAGCGAUAACAAUAAUAAUGAAUAAUUAUAAAUUAUAAAUAUGUAUAAUAAGAUAAUAGUCAAGAUAAUAAACAUGAUUAGGAAUAAUUAUUUUCUUUUAAAUCAUAAAACUUUACAAAAAGGAGAACUUUCCAAAUUAAGAAACUUUCUAAAAAUAGAAACUUUCGAAAUUAGGAAACUUUCCAAAAAUGAAAAUCGUCCAAUUUAGGGAAAAUGCUGUUAGAGUUCAUACAAUGGUCUAGACACGAAUCUUCGACUUACUCAGAGUUUGUAUGUUAUGUAUUUAUAGGAAAUAACAACUAAUUAGGAAGCCUAUGCAUUUGAUAGGUACGUUACCAGUUUAAGAGAGCUAAGGUAGUUCCACUCGAGCAGCUGGAUAAAGGUAGGUGGUACUUACCCUUCUGAGAUUUCAAAGGUGCAAAAAUGAAAGUUUCGUUUUCAAUCUUGUUUUGUUGUGUUGACUCGCAACAUAUUUGAUUAAAUGCUUUACUUGGAUAUUGAUGAAGGUUAUAUUUUUAUUAUACAAAAAUGAACCAUGUGACUUAUUUGAAAUGUUUUGAUAUGUUACCAAACGAGUUGAAUCUUUUAUGAAAUCAAAGAUUUGUGUAUAUGACGUGUGGAAUGAAUUUUUGACAAGUAAAACUCAAAACAGUCAUGGAAUAGAGGGUAGGGACUAUAGUCCUGCUUAAUCGUCAUGGUAGUCUGGUAUAAAGUCUGACCGAUUGACAAAGUCAUGGUAGCCUGGUAUAGAGUCCGGCCGAUUGACAAAGCUAGGCUACGUCUGGCCGGUUGGUAAGGUCAUGGUAGCCUGGUAUAAAGUCCGACCGAUUGAUCCAUGUAUAAAAAGAGGUCAAUCGGUAGUCAUGAAACCUAUUGGUCGCCCAUCUAGAAGGGGUUUAAUCUCUAAACUGAGUACUCAGUAGUCGGUCAUCACAUGUACUUGUUAUGAGCUAAUAUGAAAUGAUUUAUGAGUUGAUAUGGAAGGAUUUAUGAACUGAUCUGAAAUGAGACCUAUGAACUGAUUUGUGAAUUGAUUUAUGAGUGGAUAUGAAGAGACUUGUGAAUUGAGAUGAAAUGAUUUAUGACUUAUGAUUUUCCAUAUUCAUUUAUCAAUAGGGUACUUUUAAAUUGCUUGCCACUUGUUACUACUGAUUGCUUUAUAAACGACGUUACUUUCAAAAUUAUGGAUGUGAUUGAUGCGCAAAUGAUUUGCUAUAUAUCUAUAUGUAUGUAUCUAUAAAAUUACGAGUACAUGAUCCAACAGAGGGGUAGUUAUUAUCUACUGGGCGAUUUGUCGCUUAACCCACUUUUUACCAUCCUUGCAGAUUCUGAAGAGUAUGAGUUGGUUUACGUGGAAGACCCUGAGGACGACUUUUGUUAGCUUUAAGUGAAUAGAAGUUGGCAGGCUAGCUACUUCUAGUUGUUAGUCUUAUUUAUUUUCGAUUCCGCUGUUUCCAUUAGAAAAUAAAUGUACGAACAUAUUGGAUAUUCGUAGACUACUUUUUUAUGAGAUUUGUACUGCACUUUAUUUUAGUUAUAUUAUUUCGUACUUUUGAAGUUUAGACUAGUUAAAUGAUGCCUUGUAUUCUUUAGUGGGAUUUGAGAAUACGACGGAUGUCACGUGACGGGCACGUACGGGCUCGGGGCGUGACAUGAACUAUCAUCUGAAAGAAUAUACAACUCAAACUAUUAAUAUUAAGUUAUAAUUCAAAAAGAUAUACAGAAGCUAAAAUGAAUUUGGCUUAAUGCCAUUUCUCACCAAGUAAUUUAAUAUUUUGUCCUUCCUUCUGUGUGAUCGUGGGGGAGGUUUAAGGUUCAAAGCUCAAAGCUCAAAACUCCAAGUUGAUUGACUAUUUCAAAUUUUCAAUUGCAUGCUUUGCAUAUCGAUGCAGAUCAAAUCUCUUUUUUUCUGCAAUUAAAGGUAGAAUAUCAUUCGACUAUUACCAUUAUCAUCAGCAGAUAACAUUCUGAUAAGCAUUGCUUUGUUAAUUGUGCUACCACAACUGAGGAUAAUGCUAAUUGGUGUAUACAAUCAAUGCUUCAUGCCUCCUCAAUAAAACUAGUUACAGGGGGGAGGUGGGAGCAAAGAGCAAAUAACAGAAAUUUAUUGUGGUACCUAAGGAUAAAUUAAUAUACCAAACAUCAAUAUUAGAUAUCCACUGGCUGGAUCUUUACUGAAUAAAUCAGUAUAAGGUCCAUAUUUAUACUGGAAAGGAUAGGUAAAGAGGGUGUCUAACCAGAAUGUGGAAUAGCUACUGCAAACAGAGGAUUUUUUCUAUGGAUAGUGAGACCAGUGGAUUCAGACAUGUCCAAAUCCUUUGGUUCAACUCCAUCAGGCAAUGCAAAAUCAAACUUGUGUACCAAUUUUGCUAAUGCAAGCUCGUUAACGGCCACAGCAAAGGUAGUACCCGGGCAACCCCUUCUUCCAGCUCCAAAUGGAAUUAACUCAAAGUUAAAACCUCGAAAAUCGAUUGUACUGUUCAAGAACCUCUCUGGCUGAAAUUCUUCAGGCUGAUUCCAAAGCGAUGGAUCUCGUGCAAUCGCCCAAGCGUUCACCAUUACUCGUGUCCCUGCCGGUAUAUCAUACCCCAUAAGUUUAACGUGUUGUGUUGAUUCUCGAGGAACGAGUAGUGGGAUUGGCGUAUGAAGUCGUAAAGUCUCCUUGAUCACUGCUUUUAAGUAGUCCAUUUUGUCUAGAUCAUCCUCAGUGAUUUCUGGUUUUCCUUGAGCUACUUGUCUCGCCUCAGUCUGCAAUUUCUCCAAGAUUUUUGGGUGCCUCAAGAGUUCGGUCAUUGCCCAUUCCAUAACUGUGUGUGUUGUAUCAGUCCCAGCAGCGAACAUGUCCUAAUCAUAGAAAGCGAAGAAGAAAAACAGAUGUUGCUUAAUUGAAAAAGAAAAUCUCAUUGAAAGUUGAGAAACUAAUAUGAGGAAAACAUUUGUAAGAAGUUUAGCUCAUCAAUGGUGAACAUCAUUAAAUACAGAUAAAACAGUUUGGUUUGGCAUUGUAUCAAUUGAUGUGUUAAAGCUGAAGUAUGUAAUAUUCCUCAGCCUGCUAAUAUACAAAUAAGUGGUGCAUAAUACAUACUGCAUACUGAAUUUUAGUUGUAUACACAGUUCAUCAAAUAGUAUAAUUUUGUUCUACCUUCGAACAAGCUAAAACCUUCAUGGUUGAAAUUUCUGUAGGAAAAGCUCUACUUGUUAAUGCCUAUGAUCCUUUAUCCAAAUGUACUUAUCCGUGGAAUGAAUUACUAUGAAAAACCGUCCAACAUGCAAACCAGUAGAGAGGAAAUUAAUUCAUUGAAAAUUCUUUAGCAGACCCCAUCUGCUUGACAAUAAAUUUACACUUAUUUACCAGUUAUUGUACUGGCUUCUAACAUGUAUGUGUGAGAUAGAAAAUAAUUGGAGAACGUAUUUUCAAGAUUAAAUUUGUGAAAACCAUCGCCAUCCAAACUAACCUUUAUUCAUUUAAAAAACUAGACACAAAUUACACUUUGACUCCCUAUGGUUUAGUACUUUUUUAUAUAACUCCCCUAUGGUUUCGAAAACUAUACAUAACCCCCAUCACGAUUUGGACUAAAAUGUCAAAGUGACGAAAUUUGUAAUCCAUAACGGAAUCAACUAAAAUAUAAAAAAUACUCCAAUGUAAAGUUAAAAAUUAUUUAUUAACCACAUGAGAGUUAUGCAUAUAUUUUGAAAUCCAUAAGAGGGUUAUAUGGUAAAGCACAAAAGUAUAAUGUGGUUAUAUAAUAAAACAUAAAAUUAUAUGGGGUUAAAGUAUCAUGCAUAUUAUAUUUCUAUAUUUUGAUCAUUUCAACUAUUUUAGUUUUUAAAUGAGACUAAUUUUAAUAUUUUCAUAGGUUCCGUUAUGAAUGAUAAUUUCUUUCACUUUGACACUUUAAUCAAAACUAUGAAAGGAUUAUAUAUAGCUUUUAAAACUAUAGGGAAUUAUGUGAAAAGUAACUAUACCAGAUAGGGGCAAAUUGUAUUUUGUCCAAAAACUAGUUUGAAUAAUUGGUGCUCAUUAAGAGGGGGUUCAAGUAUUAGUUCUUUUUAAAAAGUGUAGUUAAUUUGAAAAAGUGUCUAAAUGCAAAAAUAUGCAAUAAUUGUGAUUGUGUAAAUUCACAUGAUAAAUUAUUUGUAAGUUAAAUGUAUUAAAUCAAUACUCACUGGACAACCAUUAGAAAAAUCUUUAAAAUUUAAUGCAAAUUGAAUAAUAAAAUGAAGGUAUUCCAAGUUUAGAUCAGCUAUACACAAAAAGAUUUUCAAGAAAAGAGAGAUGGCAUUAAGCCAGUACGGUAGGAUAGCCUAAUGAGUUUAUGGUUGGAGUACCUAUAAACAAGAUUUCUUACCAAAAUGAUUGCUUUGAGACUGUCAAGUUCGAGUGUAAAGCCUGUCGACUUUUCCCCCUGAAUUUCAAGCAAGAUAUCCACCAAAUCUGAGCCUUUUCCCUCUAUAAUAUCAUCAGUGUUUGCCUUUCCAUUUUUCCUAUCUUUGUGCUCCUUAAUGACACCUUCCAGAAAUUCAUCAAGUUGCUUAACAACUUUUUCCACUCUAUCAUCCAAAUCAUUAAGACGUCUCACCCAUCCAAGCCAUGGAACAAAAUCCCCUAUAUCAAUAGUACCUAACAACUCAGCAAAUUCCUUCAUGAUUUGCAUACUUUUGCUUCCAUCUUCCCUAUCACUGUACUUCCUCCCCAAGGCCACCCUACAAAUCACAUCAUUUGUCAGUGUCAUAAGAAGAUCACUCAAGUUUAUGGCCGAUAAAGGCGGCGAAGAAGCCGACAAACUUCUAAUCUUUUCAACCAUAAGUGAAGUCUCUUCCUCUCUUACAUAUCGAAAUGACUGAACCCGCUUAUGACUUAGAAGCUGGAGCACACAAAUACUUCUCACUUGCCUCCAAUACUCACCGUAAGGUGAGGCUGCGAUAUCCUUGCUGCCAUAUAGAAGUCUAUCACUCAUGCUUGUUUUAGGCCUGUUAGCAAAGACUAAAUCAUGGGUUCUCAUGAUUUCACAAGCUGCAUCAGCUGAAGAGGCAAUAACCACCGGCUUGCUGCCAAAAUGAACCAGCAUGAGGGAACCAUAUUUUCUUGAUAAUGAUUGAAGUUUGCGGUGAGGAUAUAGCCCGAGUUGGAAAAGAUUUCCAACAACUGGAAACUUUGAUGGAGAAGGUGGCAGCCUUUGUUGGGGUUUAGAAGAAGCAUAGAACCAUAUAAAAAGGGUUAGAAGUAGCAAAGCCACGGGAAGAAGAGAGGAAAAUGUAAGAUCCAGAAUAAACGCCAUUACAUGCUUCUCGAAAAUUGGAGAAAGGGCCAAAUCAAAAAAGCAGAAAUUUGUUGUUGCUGCUACAAUUGGCUAUAUAUAUGCCUACUUGAUUAAGUCGAAAAGGAUCACCAGAAUUCUGCUUCUGUUCUGAUGAUCCUUGAAAUUUCAGUUUGUGACGGUAGCAAAUGCAUCCUCAGUAAAUGAAUCAAAGCCACACAUUGGAAACAAUAUCUAUAGGGCCUGGCCGAUUAUUUUGACUUUAGUGGCUGUACUGGCAGAACAAAUUUUGGAUGAUAAGUCCUACUCGUAAGCAAAUUCCAAAAAUUGGAUUGGACUUAUAUUCGCACCAUCAUACAUGUUGAAAUUGAUUAAGCACUUGGCAUUUGAGAUAUUAGUUUAGACAUUUUACAUCUAAAGAUUAGGGCAAAUUACACUUUAUCCCCUGUAAUUUAGUAUUUUUUUACAUAACCCCUUUAUAGUUUCAAAAACUAUACAUAAUCCUCUCAUAAUUUGUAUUAAAGUGUCAAAGUGGCGAAAAUGAUUAUUCGUAACGGAAUCACCUAAAAUGCCAAAAAUAUCCUUAUCUAAACUUGAAAAUUAUUUAUUAACCAAAGGGGGUUAUGUGUAUAUUUUGAAAAUCAUAAGGGGUUAUAUGGUAAAGUAUUAAAUCAUAAAGGGGUUAUAUGGUAAAUUGUAAAAUCAUACGGGUUUAGUGUGUCUUGUAUUUAUAAGGGUAAUUUCAACAUUUUUAAAAGUUUCGUUACGAAUGACUAUUUCUGUCACUUUGACACUUUAAUUCAAAUUAUGAGGGAGUUAUGUAUAGCUUUUGAAACUAUGAGAGGAUUAUGUAGAAAAUAUUAAAUCACAGGGGAUAAAGUGUAAUUUGCCCUAAAGAUUACAUGACGUGUCACUUUUCUAGCAUAAUUUACUAGUUCACAAAAAGUUUUGGGGAAAAAAAAAAGAUCUCGUGCAAUCUUAAAAUUCCCAUUCAAUCUCCAAAAUCAUGUCAACAGAAAUCUCACAGUGAUUAAAGCUAAUACUAAACAGAAAUCUUUGUUCGGAAGUUAACAAAGACUUUGGGGGAUGUAACUUUAGUAUGCAAAUGCGAAAUAUACUAUGAAUGAAUAUGAUUACCAACAUAACUUCUGGAGUCCAGAAGAAGCAUAGGAUUUUUGAAGAGGUCAAGCAUAGGAUUAAAACCAAACGAAGAAUUGAAGAGUGCAAAUUAAAAUAUCCAAAAUUAAUGGGAUUUUGCUUCUUGCAAUUAGUGUUACACGAUUCUUCAGUGCCAUUGAUUUGAAAGAUCAGCAAUAAAACUGAAAAGGUUGUUGAUAGGCUUUUAGAUUGUGGUUAUGUUCCAUAUGUCUUUCGGAAGAUGGCAAAGGUUAUAUUAUUGAUUUGCUUUCAUCCAAUUCCACACACCUAGUAUCAUUUAUGAUCUUGAAAUUAGCAGCAAAAAUAACAAAAAAAAGGGGAAAGGUUUAUUUCCCUCUCGAAUAUUAAUGAUAUCAAUGUCACUGUAAAGCUUAACUAAUACGAUUAAAAUUAAUGACAAUUAUUUGUUCAUUAAGCAAUAUUGCUUAGUGCCUUAGUUGUCUUUUGAUUUUCUUAUUAAGUAAUAAGAACGCAAACCAACCUGCUAAUGAACCAUGAAUUCACGAGCAACUUGAUAUUAAAGUGAUAGACCAUAAAAAUAGGGAGUGUAGGCAACACUAAUAUCAUCACCCAACCACAUAGCUACCAUCUCAAUGUUACAUAUUUCGGGGAGAAUUUCCAAGAGCUACAUGCAGGCUAAAUAUAACAGGCAAGACAAUUUACAUAAGUUCUCAACUUGAUCUUGUAAACCUUGCCCUAGGACAUGCUAAACUUCUCUGUGCCAGGAGAGAAACUAAGGAGAAUAUGGAGUGGCAAGAACAAGUAUAGGAAGUUUUCUAUGCACAUCGAUGCCACCAGCUUCAGUCAUGUCCAUGUCCUCUGGUUUUCCGCCAUCAGGCAAGGCAAAGUCAAAUUUGUGCAGUAAUUUUGCUAAUGCAAGUUCAUUGAUAGCCAUGGCAAAGGUCUUACCGGGGCAUCCCCUUCAGCCGGCACCAAAUGGGAUCAACUCAAACCUCGAAAAUCUAUACCAACAUUCAGAAAUCUCUCUGGCUGAAAUUCCUCGGGCUUCUCCCAAAGCAAAGGGUCUCUUCCAAUUGCCGCCCAUGCGUUGACGAUUACUCGUGUUCGAAUCGGUAUACCAUACCCCAUUACUUUGAUGUCUCGAGGAACUAGAAAUGGAACUGGGAAAUGAAGCCGCAGAGUUUCCUUAAUUACUAGCUUUAAACACUGCAUUUUGUCAAAAUCAUCCUCAGUUAUCUCUGAUUUUCCUUGGCCUACAGCUCUGACCUCAUUUUGCAAUUUCUCCAUGACCUUGGGGUCUCUUAGAAGCUCUACCAUCACCCAUUCCAUGACUGUAUGAGUGGUAUCCGUUCCAGCUGCAAACAUGUCCUAAUCAUGCAAAGUAGAAGCCAAUUGUGAAUAAGUUGAUGUAAAGCGCAGUUUUAUAUAUUAUAUGCCUUAAAGAGUGGUGACUCUUGCCAUGAUCACGUGGGAUCCUUAAUCCAAUGUUGUACUCAUAUGUGAAUAAUUAUAUAUUAUAAAUUAUCAAAUAAGGUUAAAUUCAAUUAAAAUAAUCAAUUAUGAUUUGGAUUUUAAUAUAUCUAAUAGGAUGUAAGCCUUUAAUGUGUAGAAAUUUAAAGGUAAUUUCUAUUUCUGUGAUGGGUUGAAAUAGAAAUCUAAAAAAAACAGAAAAGUUAUCUAUAAAUAGGGUUAUAAUCUCUGGGUCACACGUAUUUUUAUUUGUUGUAUUUUUAGUACCACAAAAUAGCUCUUUCCUGAUAUCCCAUCUUUAGGAAAGAUAUCAAAAAGAAAUUAAAGAGCUCUCUCAAGGGAUUAGCGAAUACUUGUUGACCUAGAAGACCAUUUCAAAAUCUCUAAGGAUUCAAGUGGCAGUUAGUCAACAUGAAUCAAGGUACACUUCCGCAAUUUUACUGUUAAUUUAUUUCUUAAAAAUUACCAUAAAGGUUUUGGACUUAAUAGGUGAUGGUUUUCAUCAAAAGUUAAUGACAGGUGUCGAGCCUGUGCAAUAAUAAUUACCUGCUCGAAGAAUAUAUAAUUUUUGUGUAUAGCGGUGAGCAGGGUCGAAUCCACAGAGACUAUGGGAGAAUUUGUUUCUUUUAGAGUACGGAGAGCUGGGAAUUUUUAUAAAAUCAAGAAUAAUUAAACAACUCAAACAGAGAUAAAAAUCAAUAAAUAACCAAUUAAUAAAAAAAUUCACGAAAGCAAGCCGAAAUUAAAUCGAUGGUAGACAAUCUCUAGUCAAAGAUACAACCUCGCAGACACAGUCCAUUUAUCCGAUCAUUGAUGCAAAGAUGGUUUGCUCAAUUCAUUAACAGGUUAGUUAUAGUCGCCAACAAACUUUGACGACCAACUUUUCCUUAGUUUAUGGACGACCAAGGUACGACCAUUAAUCACCCCUAACCAAAAAAUAACCCUAAAUACGAUCGUAGAGUUCAAGUUUUCAAUUGCCUUAAGAAUUAGAAAACCUUAACCCUAAUCAAUAACACACUAAGAGGUUAUUUAAAUUAGAUUGUGUAUUCCCCUAACAUGUGUAAACGCUAGUUACCACUAAUAUUAAUCGACUAAACAAUUAUAGAUUUAGUGAUUAAUUUGGCAUUAGAUUAUUAGGUUACUUUGAAUAUCAGGCCCUAGACAUUUAGUUAAUGAAAUAAUCUCUAGAAAUUCAAGUAGAGAAUGCACAAAUAUCAAUAAAUGGGAGAAACGAGAUGAGAUUAGUUCGAUCUCACAGAUAUUCAGAACGGCGUCGUUGAGUUGAUCUCCGACUAGAUUAGGAAUUUAGCCAUGCCUCAUAGAGAAAUUUUCACGUGAAUUAGUAGAAUUCAUGAACAUCCAAUCUUGUUCCUUAAACAAUGUAAUAUGUUUCAUGCAAAAAGAGUAAAGGAACAAGAAGGAAUUAUCUACUGUCUUGCGGCCUCCAAAAAGGACGAAAAGAGAAUGUCCCUAAUCUAAACAAUGACUAGUCUUUAUUCUCGUCUGUCUCCUCGUCGAAUAAGGAAAAGAAAAAAAAAAAGAUAAAGCAACUCCCCAAUGUUCAUCGUUUCUUGUUUCCUAAUGCUAGUAAACUACUAGUCACGAAAGGAAAGGAAUUGGUUUAGCACAUCUUGGAGCCGGAUUUGCAAAGAUUCUCGAAGCUUCCUACGUGCAGCUUGUUAUUAAGAAAGUCUCCCUUUUUAGCAUUUUUCUGCUCCGCCUCCUGUAAUUAGGUUCAAAUACCAAAUAUAAGUAUAAUUCAAUAAUUAAAACAAUAUUUGGUGAGGGUAAAAAGGGAAAUUAAUCAUAAAUUUAAUAACAAAUUACGCCCUAUCAGUUAAUAUAAACAACCACCAUCAAGUGGUAUCAGAGCAGGAUAUGAUUGAUUAUUAGAAAAUAAUUUGGUAUUAAUAAUUCAUAGUUUUCAAGUUAUUUUUAAUUAGAAUUAUUUUUGUUUUGAUUGUGCGGUGGUUGACAAUCUUGAAUUGUGGUUUUAAUGUAUUUGUUUGCUUAUAUUUUCGGUAAAUUUGCACUGUCCAAUUCAUUGCUUUUGGUUGCAUAUAAAUCCAUGGGUUUGUCGAAAUCAAUAAGCAUGAUGCACAAUAUUUGUGGUUUUAAGUACAGAUAUUUGCUUUGUUUGUUAUGAUUAGUUGGUACAUGGCUCAAAUGCGCAUGGUUCCAGGAUCACGCGUGCUUAUCUUGUUGGAUUGUUGAAUUUUGUGAACCUCUUGAUAUAUUGGCACAAGUCAUAAUAUGUGGAACCCACAUACUUUUCAUGAUAUAAUUAAAUUAACUUGAUUUCUGAUUUCGGGAAGUUGUUCGUUUUUUCCCUAUUUCAACAGAAAGCCUUGCGGCUUGUUUUGUUAGUUUAUUCAUUCAAGAGUUUUGAUUAACAUAAUAUUUAGUAGGGCCCGCAUGAUAUGUAACUUAUUAAUAUGUUAAGAAAAUUAGGGUUUCUCUAAUUUGUGUGAACCCUAAUAAAGUUAAACAACACAUUUAAGCCUUUGAAAAAAAAAGUCCAUAAGAUUGGUUCACUAAGUAUAUAGUCUUAUAAGCAAGAUAAGAAAGAAAGAAAGAAAAAGGGGUUUCCGUGCAUCGAACAUAUGAGAACAACGAGGACUGGUUUUUUUUUUUUUUGCUUUUUUUUAACAUACGUGCAUCAUCGAACUAAAGAAUUUCAGACAAAACUACAAUUUAAAAUUUAUAACUUUGGGAAAGUGAAAAAGGGAGAGAAGCUAAAACAAAUUUAUUUGAGUUUUUUUUUUAUAUCUUGAUUAGCCAUUUGUUUUAUUGAAUCUUGCCCGAUUCCCGUCACAAAUGAAAAAUAUGAUUAAACAACAAUUGCACUGUAAUCAAAAUAAUAGUACGACCCAAUACUAAAGAAUGGAAAUUAACAUAUAAAAUGAAUCCAUAUAUCCAUAAUCCAAAAUGAAUUUGGCAAAUAGAGAAAACAAAAAUAAAACCACAAUUUUAGGGUAAAAAAAAGGAAAAUAAUUAAUUCUUCCGCAUUUCAGCUACAGGGCCAUAAUUUGGCGACCGAAAAACAAAGGGAAACCAAUGAAACAACACUAUUGGUUCAAAAAGUAAACACCACGGAUCGUAAGCUAAUAACUGUUUUUCGGCCUAGGUAAUUGACAAGAGCCACAGGGCUCCACACGCGUCUCAGCCCAUCACAUGAAUGUGAUAGACUCCCAAAUCCAAGAAGUUUGCUUGUUUCCAAGCCUGUAUCUCUACAGUACAUAGCCCCGGGGCUUGGAGAUUGGAGAAUUUAUAUAUAUAUAUAGUUACUUCCAAAUCUAAGUAUACUUGCACAUGACAUCAAGUAAACAUAAAACGGUGGAAAUGUGAGAACUUUCAUCCCAAUGCAAAAUGUGGUCUCUCACUCCUUAUUACGAGUCACCAGCGUGAACUUCCACUAGAAAUAAGACCGCAAAAAUAAAAAAGAAAGCAUACGAAUUCAAAGCCAUUAACAAAGAUAUGGAGUGGCAAUAGCAUGUAGAGGAUGUUUUCUGUGAACUGUGAUACCAGAUGCUUCAGUCAUGUCCAAAUCCUCUGGCUUCGUCCCAUCAGGCAAUGCAAAAUUAAAUUUGUUGACCAAUUUUGCCAAUGCAAGUUCAGCAACGGAUAUGGCAAAGUUGAUACCCGGGCAAACCCUUCGUCCGGAACCAAAAGGAAUUAACUCAAAGUUAAAACCUCGAAAAUCUAUAUUGGAAUUCAGAAACCUCUCAGGUUGAAAUUCCUCAGGGUUCUCCCACAGAAUGGGGUCUCUUGCAAUUGCACUAGCAUUCACCAACACUAGUGUGCCUGCUGCUAUAUCACACCCCAUUAUUUUGAUGUCUCGAGUUGAUUCUCG
Molecule: long non-coding RNA, 20948 nt
Filed under: Coffea arabica (coffee)
Lineage: Eukaryota; Viridiplantae; Streptophyta; Magnoliopsida; Gentianales; Rubiaceae
Description: long non-coding RNA (CARA_LNC003138)
Source: RNAcentral